UAUGUGAUCGUCUCUCGCAUAUCAAUAAGCGGAGGAAAAGAAACUAACAAGGAUUCCCCUAGUAACGGCGAGUGAAGCGAGAAGAGCUCAAAUUUGAAAUCUUAAAGGGUUUCCCUUUACGAAUCGUAGUUUAAAGAAGUGUUUUCUGUUGAGGUUUUGGUAAAAGUUCUUUGGAAUAGGACAUCAUAGAGGGUGAGAAUCCCGUAUUUGACCUUUACUUUCAACUUUGUGAUACACUUUCAAAGAGUCGGAUUGUUUGGGAAUGCAGUCCAAAAUGGGUGGUAAAUUUCAUCUAAAGCUAAAUAUUGGCGAGAGACCGAUAGCGAACAAGUACCGUGAGGGAAAGAUGAAAAGAACUUUGAAAAGAGAGUUAAACAGUACGUGAAAUUGUCAAAAGGGAAGCGUUUGACACCAGUGUUGUUUUUCUGAAAAUCAAUUAAAGAACUGUUUAUGCUAAGUUGUUUAGACUUUAUCAGCUAACUGUUUAGUUUUGAGCUUUUCUUUAAUGCACUUUUCAGUUAACAAGUCAACAUCAAUUUCUUUUGCUGUAAAAAGCUUGAGGAAGGUGGCUUGAGAUUCGUCUUAAGUGUUUAUAGCCUCUUGCCUAUGCAGUCGGAGAGAUUGAGGUCUGCAGCGUAGAUCCUUCGGGGCUAAAUGCAUUUGUGCUAAGUUAUAACAUUUUAUAGACAACUUGUUGACUAUGAUUUGUCUUGUAGCUUACUCGCUUAUGUUAUUUUACCUACGCUUAGGAUGUUGAGUAGCGACAUACGCAC
Molecule: ribosomal RNA, 773 nt
Filed under: uncultured Neocallimastigales
Lineage: Eukaryota; Fungi; Neocallimastigomycota; Neocallimastigomycetes; Neocallimastigales
Description: partial large subunit ribosomal RNA
Rfam family: Eukaryotic large subunit ribosomal RNA
Source: RNAcentral